RNAcentral lists this unclassified non-coding RNA (3379 nucleotides) under Hevea brasiliensis (rubber tree). Lineage: Eukaryota; Viridiplantae; Streptophyta; Magnoliopsida; Malpighiales; Euphorbiaceae. The record is from RNAcentral.
UUAUAUAUAUAUAUAUAUAUAAAGGCACACAAGUAUUCUCUGACCACAAAGUCCUUGCUACAAGGAAAAUUUUAUGAAAUUGUGAUCAGCCCAGCUGCUCUAUGGUAGUGAAUGCUGGGUGGCAAAAACAGCACAUUUAUAAAAUGGGCAAUGCUGAAGCUAAAUUGAGAAUGUUAAUAUACCAGAAUAAAAAAUAUAUAUAUAUAUUUUAUAUUCAGCAGAGGGUGGACGCAGUACGCAUUGAGGACAAAAUGAGGGAGGAUAGGUUGAUAUGUUUGAUCCAUAUCCAAUGUAAACUUACAGAUGCACUGAAGCAAAAAAGCAAGUCAAUUUGAGGUAGUAGGAAGAAUGGGAAAGUAGACCUAAAAAUACCAUGGAUUGAACAUAUAUUGGAAAGUAUGACCUAUACAAAGUUGAAUUAAGGCAAAAAAAACAUAUGCUGAUGACAACUAAAUUGGAAUUGAGAGUUAGUUCAAUUGAAUUGAGUUGAAUUGAAUAAUACAUGCUGGUGGCAGGAAGUGGAGAUAUCAUAGAGAAAACAAAUAUUUAUAAGGUUCUAGAGGAGUAGUAGGAUAAUUGAUUUCCUCAUUCCAAUUUUGGCUAAAAAGUGGACAAAGAAUAAUAUAGGUUACAACAGUAUGCAAUUGAAAGAAUAAAACAGAAAUAGCUAACAAACACAAACUGUUAAGAUUAAGGUGAUAUUGAUAAUUGAUAAAGUUUACCAACGCCUUGCCCCUUCCCCCUCCACACACACACACAUUUUAAAAAACAAAAAGGAAAGGAGAAGCGAGUAAUCAAUAGACAAUGAUCUAAUUCAGAUCAACUUAAACACUUCAUACAUACUCUGAAUCAGAUUGUUCAUCACUAUCAUACUCAGCAGCAUUAGAGCUUCCUCCAGCAAGAAGACCUCUGUUUGAAUCAUCAGCAGCUGCAAGUGCCACCAAAGCUCGAUCCUGUGCACCUGGUUGUACUGCUGGAAGUCUAUCCUGCCUCCCUGGCUCUGCAUUUACAUUCUCCUGGCCACCAUUUUCCUCAGGUCUGGGCAGUAAAAAAUCUGUUAAACCAAGUGCCCAGCCAACUGCUGUAAACCAAUAGCGAAGAAGGGUUUUGAUUGUGGUCCGCAACUUAAAAUGCUCAAUGGCAAAUGGAAUGCAGAUUUGGAAAAGAAGCAUGUCAGCUGGUAUUUCAGUAAAUGGAUCAGACACCGAUAUGUCCAGAGGGAAAAUGGAGGGUGCCAUCUGCAUUGCAAGUUUGACAGGUAAAAAUACCAGCAUCACAAUUAAACUCCCAUAAACAGCAACAGACAACAAAACCCUGCGAGCAUGCUUGUGCACAGGAUCAUCAAUUAAAUCACGGAAUGGGUUAUAGUUUGGAUCAGCUGGAUCUCGAAGAAAAUACAGAACUCCUUGACGUAAAACCCCUCGAAGAAGACUGACAAAGAUGCUUAUUUGUAGCAUGUACACAAUUCCUACAACCCAAUGAACCAAUGAGCUUGCUAAAGGAGAAAUGGAGAAGAAUUGAACUCUUUGAGCCAUGGACUUCCCAAACAUCCUUAUAGUACAAACAUCCAGCCACCAUCCACACAUCAAAGGAAAUACGCCAAGCUCAAUGACCAGUAGGAAGGCAACCUUAAUCAUAGUCAUCAAAUGCCUCAUUGCUGCCAAGAACUGCCUGAAAAGUGAUGGAAUUGUUUCUGCGAUAGAGGCAAUACCAUAAAAUCUCCCCAUAGUCAAAGGCUCACCCUUUGUGUAUCGAAUCAAAGCAACAAUACCCACGUAGAAGAAGACCAGAGAGAAUAUAAACAUGUAUCCAAUAGCAAGAGUUGUAACAUCAGAAAGCCGUGAUGUGCCAAUAUUUGCCCCUUUUAAGAGAUCUGCUGACAGUGGAGUGCUUAUGUUCUUUGAGACUUCAUUUAGUCCAGUAGCAUUUACUUUCAUCAUAUCAGCAACCUGACCAAGAAGUCCACCUUCUUGACCUUCAGAUGUCAAAUUUGUAACAGCAGUUAAUGCACUCUUCAUUGUAAAAUUUGCUACGGAGAGGUCAGUAUCUGUGAGUGGCAUAACUGUUGAUAAUAAAGGACCACUCGCCGAAGAGAAAAGCCACGAUACAUAAUGGAGUAUAAUCCGUCCCAAUGAAAAGGGCACAAAGAUAACAACACCAAGGAAUAUCAUAUUGCUAGCCAGAACAGUGAAUGCAUUUUCAACUAAAUGGAAUACAGGACCCUGCAUACCAACAAGCUCAUCGAAGGGUACAUCCUCUGCACCAUCAGCAUCAUCUAAACCAUCAAACAUUUGUUCAACAUGAGCCUCAAGACGAGCUGCCUGCAUCUCCCACCGAGCAGCAACAUUUUCUGCAUUCCUUCUUAUUAUUUGACCAGCCCCUGCAAUUCCUUGUCCUCCACCAGCAUCUUCAGCAUUUGCCUCACCAGCAAAAUUUCUAAUAGCCUGUCCUGGUGGCCGUCUUGCAGCACGGGCACCAUUUCUGUCACCUUCAUCUUCUCUCUCAGCAUCCUGACCUCCAAGCUCCCUUAAAUGCCUAAAGUAAUCUCUUAAUGAAGUGGCCCCAAGAAAAAUGAAAACAAUGCUGGCAGAAAGUAGGAAGCCAUGCAGACAAUCAGUAAGAAUAACUGUAGUAGAGAUAUGACUUAAAAAUAAUCUCUGGGCUUCACCAAAACUCCUCACAAAAGCCAAACGCCAUAUCCAGAAUGUUAUGAAGGGUAUAAUGAGGAGCCAAACAGAAAGUACAAAACUAAGGCGCAAAAAGAAUUGCAAAACAUGACAAGUCUUCAUUGCCAUUCCAACUACAAACUCCUGAAAAGGAAGCCUUGCUGGGGCAUUCUCAGCAUAAACAGGAGAGAACGAGAAUGCAUGCUUGCAAACCUCGCAUUGGCGAGCGUUGCUGUGAUUAAGCCACUGCAGGAGGCAGUCCUGGUGCACAAACUUGAUACUUCCGCUACACGCGCACGGAUAACGUAAAGGAUUCUCCGCAUCUCCCGGGUUCCUACAGAUCCGGCAUACAUCCUCCUCCUCCUCAUCGUCCUCGUACCUCGACCCCGCUGCCGACGACGACGAAGCUCCAUUACUCUCCUCCUUUUCAUUCAAAUAGCGCUUCCACGCUGUAGAGCUCGAGGAAGACGAGGAUGGCGACGACGGCCUUAUAAUGUCCUUGUCCUUAGAAUAUCCGUGAUUCGGUGGCGGUGGCGCCGCCGCGGAGCCGAUCUCCAUGAGGAAAGUUUAGGUUUCGGAGGAAAGAGGACGGCGAGUCAGAGACGGGAUUGACUCAAUGAGUUCAGGGCACGAAUUGGAAAUUUGGAGAAGUAGUAGAUUGAAACGCGUUGUGGGGAUUUUUGUUUUGUUUUAUUUUUUCUUUUGGAGUUUGG